GGCGAUUCCAGGAAAAGAGCAACAAGCCGCUGGAUAUGGCAUACUUCUGCAGAUCAUGAUGCUUGUACUCUCCUUUGUUAUUGGACAUGUGCUUCGUCGUCGUCAUUUCUAUUAUAUUCCUGAAGCCAGUGCCUCUCUAUUGAUUGGUUUGAUUGUUGGUGGAUUGGCUAAUGUUUCAGAUACAGAAACCAGCAUUAGGGCAUGGUUUAACUUCCAUGAAGAGUUUUUCUUCCUCUUUUUACUGCCACCGAUCAUAUUUCAGUCAGGAUUUAGUCUAUCACCUAAACCAUUCUUUUCAAACUUUGGAGCAAUUAUCACUUUUGCUAUUCUAGGAACUUUCAUUGCUUCUUUUGUUACUGGCAUUCUGGUUUACCUUGGUGGAGUUACGUAUCUCAUGUACAGACUUCCAUUUGUAGAGUGUCUAAUGUUUGGAGCUCUUAUAUCGGCAACUGAUCCUGUCACUGUUCUGUCUAUUUUUCAGGAGCUUGGCACAGACGUGAACCUAUAUGCUUUAGUGUUUGGGGAAUCUGUUUUAAAUGAUGCAAUGGCAAUUUCCUUGUACAGGACAAUGUCACUGGUCAGAAGCCACAUGUCAACUGAUCAGAAUUACUUCAUGAUAACCAUCCGAUUUGUCGAAACAUUUAUGGGAUCCCUGUCAGCUGGUGUUGGAGUUGGAUUUGUUUCUGCUUUGCUUUUCAAAUAUGCUGGCUUGGAUAUUGACAAUCUUCAGAACUUGGAGAGCUGUUUAUUUGUUCUCUUUCCAUAUUUCUCAUAUAUGCUAGCAGAAGGACUUGGUCUCUCUGGCAUAGUGUCUAUAUUGUUCACUGGAGUCGUUAUGAAGCGCUAUACGUACCCGAAUUUAUCAGAAAGUUCACAGCGAUUUGUGUCGGCGUUUUUUCAUUUGAUAUCAUCUUUGGCUGAAACUUUUGUAUUUAUAUAUAUGGGAUUUGAUAUCGCGAUGGAGAAACAUAGUUGGUCCCAUGUGGGAUUUAUCUUCUUCUCAAUUCUGUUCAUUGUGAUUGCGAGGGCUGCUAAUGUGUUUGGUUGUGCAUAUUUGGUCAAUCUUGUACGACCUCCACACCAAAAGAUACCAGCAAAACAUCAAAAAGCACUCUGGUACAGUGGACUUCGAGGCGCUAUGGCUUUUGCCCUUGCUU
This 1157-nucleotide unclassified non-coding RNA is filed under the name Hevea brasiliensis (rubber tree). Lineage: Eukaryota; Viridiplantae; Streptophyta; Magnoliopsida; Malpighiales; Euphorbiaceae. The record is from RNAcentral.